UCACUUUCAACAACGGAUCUCUUGGCUCUCGCAUCGAUGAAGAACGCAGCGAAAUGCGAUAAGUAGUGUGAAUUGCAGAUGUAACGUGAAUCAUCGAUUCUUUGAACGCAAAUUGCACUUCCUGGUAUCCCGGGGAGUAUGCCUGUUUGAGGGUCGCCUAAAAAUAAACAUCGAUUACGUAGCUUUUUUCAUCAAAAAAAAGUUGAUGUUAUCGGAUUUGAGCCUUCUUUAUUUUUUUUUAAUAAAGUGGUUUAAAAUAUUAUUUUUGGUAUCAUCGAAAUUGUAUUUUACGAUCAGUU
RNAcentral lists this ribosomal RNA (299 nucleotides) under uncultured Glomus. RNAcentral describes it as "5.8S ribosomal RNA". The stretch from base 2 to 156 matches the Rfam family "5.8S ribosomal RNA". Rfam says of the family: 5.8S ribosomal RNA (5.8S rRNA) is a component of the large subunit of the eukaryotic ribosome. It is transcribed by RNA polymerase I as part of the 45S precursor that also contains 18S and 28S rRNA. The record is from RNAcentral. Lineage: Eukaryota; Fungi; Glomeromycota; Glomeromycetes; Glomerales; Glomeraceae.